Molecule: long non-coding RNA, 449 nt
Organism: Manacus vitellinus (golden-collared manakin)
Lineage: Eukaryota; Metazoa; Chordata; Aves; Passeriformes; Pipridae
Exons: 3
Source: RefSeq, a predicted model, not a curated record
GCUUUUCUUCCCGUGUUCCCACAUAGUGAUUAAUCUUCCCAGUGUUUGAAGGUGGGGAACAGCUGCCUUGGGGCUGCACGGAGGAGGAAGAUGCCUCAGAAGCUUCGUCCUCCCCGAAACAUUCCCCUCUGGGCCACGGGCUGCAGAAAGCUGGGCCACAAAUUGGGCUCCACGCCACGGUGAGGUGUCAGGAAUCCUCCAGAGGUGGCCCCUUGUUCUGUCACCGCCGCGCUUGUUCCUCGGGAGGUAAAGGAGCCCUUCCUCUCUAAAGCUGGCAGUUCCAGCAGGUUUUGUUGUCACUAUCUGUACUUUGUAGUAGCUGUCAACAGAGUUUGGGUGUCUGGUUUACAUGCUGAGGCUGUGCUGUUUUGAGGAUGCUUUUAGAUGUUCUAUCCCUUUCCAUUACAAUGAAACAAGGCUGGGUUGUUGGGUUGAUUUCCUUUUCCUAC